AUGAACGCUGGCGGCGUGCCUAAUACCUGCCAGUCGAGCGAACGGACGCGAAGCUUGCUUCUCUGAUGUUAGCGGCGGACGGGUGAGUAACACGUGGAUAACCUACCUAUAAGACUGGGAUAACUUCGGGAAACCGGAGCUAAUACCGGAUAAUAUUUUGAACCGCAUGGUUCAAAAGUGAAAGACGGUCUUGCUGUCACUUAUAGAUGGAUCCGCGCUGCAUUAGCUAGUUGGUAAGGUAACGGCUUACCAAGGCAACGAUGCAUAGCCGACCUGAGAGGGUGAUCGGCCACACUGGAACUGAGACACGGUACAGACUCCUACGGGAGGCAGCAGUAGGGAAUCUUCCGCAAUGGGCGAAAGCCUGACGGAGCAACGCCGCGUGAGUGAUGAAGGUCUUCGGAUCGUAAAACUCUGUUAUUAGGGAAGAACAUAUGUGUAAGUAACUGUGCACAUCUUGACGGUACCUAAUCAGAAAGCCACGGCUAACUACGUG
RNAcentral lists this ribosomal RNA (496 nucleotides) under uncultured bacterium. Its description in RNAcentral is "partial 16S ribosomal RNA". It matches the Rfam family "Bacterial small subunit ribosomal RNA", at positions 29 to 507 of the family's 1533-position model. The record is from RNAcentral.